AAGGAUGAAUCACUUUGUGAGAAGCUUGAUUUGGAUACAUAAAGUGGUGGAGAAUCACCAGGAAUUUGAAUAAAUCUCAUAGGAGUUGGGAUGAAGAAGUUAUUCAACUUUCAAAUCAGGUGAUUCCAGUUUCCCAGUUUGGGAAUAGCACAGCUUCUUCGUCGUUCCAAUCAAACCAGGAUGAAUCACUUUGUGAGAAGCUUUAUUUGGAUACAUAAAGUGGUGGAGAAUCACCAGGAAGU
RNAcentral lists this long non-coding RNA (242 nucleotides) under Brassica napus (rape). RNAcentral describes it as "long non-coding RNA (BNAP_LNC023948)". The record is from RNAcentral. Lineage: Eukaryota; Viridiplantae; Streptophyta; Magnoliopsida; Brassicales; Brassicaceae.